ACAGAAACUCAAGUUUCAUCUGUGAUAUGACUGAGAAAAAUAUUUCAAAUGCAUGCAGUACUUAAGAGCCCCUUCUGGUUUAAUCCCGUGGUUUUCAUGCAGUGAUGAAUGUGCUCAGUGUUUUUACAUGACUGAUGGGUUGUUCAGCACUGAAGAGAUGAACAUAUCUGCCCCUCUUAGUCUUUUUUAGAUUUUACAAUAUGUUUGGCAGCAGCAAGAGCUAAUGGGAUUUGUCAUGCCAACACUAAACUGAGACUAAGCUUCGACCCUUUAUACGGAAUUAUUAAAAGAGGAAGCUGCAGUACCAAAAGCAGACUGUGCUUGACUGCAUGAGACUGUACCUCUCUCAGAGCAAAUUAAAUCUUACUUCACAAACUUUAUGAGAUACAAACUUCAAAUCUUUAAAGUUAAAUCUUUCAACAUCUCUUUUUUUUUUUUUUUUUUUUCAUGGCAACAAUGAACCAGUGAUUGACUUUUUAGAGCUGUAACUUGAAUAACUGGGGAGAACAAAUGCUAAGGUUCCUAGUAAGAUACAUACCAAAUGUGUUCUUAUCCCUUCAAAUUAAGAUUUGUAGUUUGAUUUACUAUCAAGACCAUAGAGAUCAAUUUUAAAACAAACAAAUUAACAUCACCAACAGAAAAAGUAUAAGCAAACCCUUUGUUUUUGCAGGCUCUUGUUUUUUCCUAGUAGCAUUAGUCCCUUUUUAGAUAUUUGGUAAACUAAAACUUAGUGUACUGCUGUUUAAUACAGAUUUUUUUUUCUCAGCUAGAAAGAGGUAUCCUUUGAAAAUGUAAAUGUUGUUCACAAAAAGGAAUGCAUUGGCAAAGUAAGCCAGUAAUUCAUAACUAGCUAAAAC
Long non-coding RNA from Oxyura jamaicensis (ruddy duck), 857 nucleotides. RefSeq lists it as uncharacterized. The record is from RefSeq and is a predicted model, not a curated record. The transcript is spliced from 2 exons. Lineage: Eukaryota; Metazoa; Chordata; Aves; Anseriformes; Anatidae.